AUCAGCGAAAAAAACAAGUUUGUUUUCUUUCCAUCAGUCAGUCAGCACAUUACGCUGCUGCUGUUAUCGCACGUUCGAUAUAACACGAUCGUCUUCCAUUUUUGGCCGUGACUAAGAGGCGUAUUAAAUACCACGUGAUUGUUUGUGAGUUGGGGUCAAAUUUCAAUUGAUAUACGUUUUGCUUGGAGUUUGGGAAUGUUUUCAACUAUUCGGUCAAUAUACCAUGGCAGACAAUGCGUUCGGGAUUUUCCUGGUUGCAAGUUCGUGUAUUCUGAGGUAGAGCAAAAGAUUGGAAAGAAGGCCAAUUUUGACAGAGUGUUACUACGUUUGAUUUUAGUAGUUGUGGCUGGCCUUGAGCGGGGCGUAAUUCAAUAGACCAUAAUAGCUUUAAUUACAUCGCCUCAGGUAAUAAUUCCUCGGUAUUUCUAUUGUGCUACGCCAGCUGAAAAACCUGCACAUCAGUUGCUUAACAAACCAAAAGAGAACCGAGAAGUAGAGGAGACUUAUCGUCCGUGUUGUUUGUUUACCAAGAGUAUAUCUCCGUGGUCUAACAACCUGUUUCGCCACCUGUUGAAUCACGACGAGAGUUACCAUGUGCAUCGAGUUAUUUGAAUCUGAGGAAAACUGACAGAACUGACCCUGUAAGCCUAAUGAAUAAAUAGGCAGCCAAAAGAAGGAUGACGGGCUUCUCAAUUACGACAUCUUGUCGUUGAGUUCCAUAGGUUCAAGGCCAGAACUGACGUCACGAUCAAAAGGCGCGAGAGCUCGAAGAUUUCAUACCACAAGAGUACACGGCCACACGUGUGAAGGCCACGAAAGUGAGGUGGUGAUUAAUUACUUUCAGUCUGCUACUGGGUAACUCAGAUGAAAGGGAGACAUGUAAAAGGACAGCAGCGACUUCAACCUUUUGGUUUCAGGUCGCAAAUUACAAAAUCGUUGGAAUACUUUCCAUUUUCACGGAGGAGGUCAACAAAAAAAAAAGACAAAAAACAUUGAAAUGGUUUUGAACAGUUUUUUCGCAUGAUGUCACAGGAGCAACAACAUGUUUCUUCAAACAAGUUGCAUCACGAAGCAUCAGCUGAGUGCAAUGGACACUUUGGCGUUCGUACGAAAAACAGGGGACAUAUCGAAAUCGACGCAAAAUGUUCAAACUUUUAGAAACGAAAUUGCGCACCGAUUCCACGUCAUUGCGCAAGACUACCGGGCCGUUUGCUAAAAAGCGGAGAAGACGGACAACGAGCUGCCAGUUCGACGCUAGGCGAGCGUCGAGACACACUUCACUGGUGGUUUAGAGCUGACUUCCGAACCUAUAGUGCAUCACCAAAUGAUGGCAGAUACAAACAUUGUUACUCCAAGUUCCAGUUCACUUUAUUCUACACGGCUUCCGUGAACUUUUUAACGGACGGCUAAAAUCCCCCCCCCCACAGAAAGUUUCUCGAAAACGCCUACAUAAACUUUUCUUUGCUGCAAAGAACUUGAAUUGUAUCGCAAGUAAACAACAGGACUACUUCUCUCCUUUCGGGCAACUACUGGCUUUUUCGCGUGAAGUUGGCGAUCAAAAAUCGGCAACACUAUGCUGCCCGAAAUACUUCAUGUGGUGAUGAUUGCAGCCAGCGUGACCUCGACAAUGUCGAUCCAAGUAGAAGGAUCGGUUUGGACGCCAUCGACCGGCAAAUGUCUCACUGACGAACAACUAGCGGCGGUAGGGCUCAACACGGCGCAAAAACCAGCCCGUUCAUUUUUGCACGACAAUAAAGCACUGGAACUGAGACUGGAAGCAUCGGACAGAGUCACUCACCAACUAUCGACUGCCGUGUUUGCCAUAUUCAUCCGGGAAGUGCUCGGCUACCGGAGCGUCACCAUAACUAAGCGGCGCGACGCUUUCAAUGUGUCGGCCGUGCUGACACGUAUGACAGGAUGCUCCAAUCCUAUCAAUUGCGAUUCGGCCGAGUUGCAGUCGGAAUCGUUCGUGCCGGAGACAAUGAUCAACCUGGAAGUGUGGGUACCACUCGGAUACAAUAUGGAACAAUGGUCGGAUACCGGAAACUUGGAAGAAUGCGGUCUAUUGGGACCUGGUGGAAGGUUCGGUUGGUUCAUGCCCGAGUGGACGAGCCAUCGUAUUCCGAUUGCCGAUCACUGGCGAAGUCUUCAAGAUCCGGAGAUCGCAUCGCAUUUUGACGUCGACAUCCAAGAGAUGAGCCAAUUGGCCGAGUUCACAAAGGAUCCUUCCACCGGAAGGUACUAUUGCGAUGCCAAUUAUUGCGACAACGGCGUUUUCUAUCCCGAUUAUUGUCGACCCGACAUUUACGGAAAUAUUCCACCUUGCGCCGUCCUUCUAGCUGAAUAUCCAGAUUACAUGGGCUUUUUGAUCAAGCAAAUUCCCUCGCUCAAACUGCUAGUCAAAGUCGUUUGGCUGGGACCCAACGCCGAUCGAGUUGUUCGUGAUUUCGUCAGUGACGUCAAACGACGCAAAUCCGGACGUUCCAUUCUGUUUUUCGCGUGGCGUCCGAGCACCAUUACCGAGAGCGAUGAUUUCCUCAGCUUGUCUUUCCCACAGUGUGAAACUUUGUCAACCCCCGAUAGCGACAUGAAAUGUGCCUACGAGUUCCAGCGCUUCGAAAAGGUUGCCUGGUCCUACCUAAAGAAGGGAGCCAAACUCGUCUUCGAGGCUCUUCAACGGGUCUUCUUCACCCAGGAAGAGUACACGGCCAUGUUGCGAUUGUACAAUAAAAAACAGGAAGAAGAAUCGCAAGUGGACAAAAUUGCUUGCGACUGGAUGAAAGACAAUCCGCAAGUUUGGUCACAAUGGAAACCCUCCGAUUUAAAUGUCAAAAUGGAGCUCUACAUCGGUGGGAUCUUCCCUAUCAGCGGACCGUCGUACAAGAGCGGACCCGGGAUGGUGCCAGCUGCCCAAAUGGCCGUUGACGCCAUCAAUCGGAACGAGACCAUCCUGAGGGACUACGAUCUGAAAUUGCUCGUCGCCGAUGGCCAGUGCUCAGCCGACAUGGUCAUGAAGAGUUUCAUUGAUUAUCUGCGCUUCAAACACUUUAACCGCAUGGUUGGCAUUCUCGGUCCGGCGUGUUCCGAAACGGUGGAAUCCGUGGCGGGAGUUUCAAAACGUUUCAAAACGAUCGCCAUCAGUUACAGCGCUCAAGGAUCGAGUUUCUCGGAUCGGGACAAGUUUCCUUAUUUCUUCCGCACGAUCGGCGAGACGGGCCAAUUCAAAUACGUCUUUUUAACUCUACUCCAACAACUUGGCUGGAAACGGGUGGGCGCAUUGAUGAGCGACGGCAAAAAGUACUCCGAUUACGUGACCACUGUACAAGAUUACGCAGAAAGUAACAAAAUCACGUUUGUUACCACACGUAAAAUAACGAGCAGCUCUUCACUCGAAUAUUUAAAGGAUCUCAAAGCAAAAAGAGUCAAGAUCAUCGUCGGUGAGUUCAAUGAAGAACGGGCUUGCGAAGUCAUGUGUCAGGCAUACAGACUCAACAUGACGGCCAGGGAGGGCUACAUCUGGUUUUUACCAAAUUUCAAUUCUGAACUCCUUCAGAGUUUCAAGCCUCUUUGGUACGAUGUCGACCGACGUGUCAAUCAAUCAAAUCGCAGUUUGGAAGCUAUUCCGUGUUCUACCGAGCAAAUCAUUCGGGCAAUUGAUGGUCAUUUCUACAUGACGUAUUCGAGUUAUGCACCAAACGAAAGUCUCAUGCAAGAAGGGACGAACGUCAGUGACUGGCGAAGGCGCUACGAGUUCCAGUGCGCCCGAUUCAACACAUCGACUUCGGAGUAUGCCAGUUACAUCUACGAUUCCGUAUGGACCUACGCCUUGGCCCUGGAUAAAUUACUGAAAGGCAACGAGUCGCUAGCUGCAGACUUCCAUACCGAUCACACCACAGAGAGUCUGAGAAGAAUCAUCAAUGAGACGGAUUUCAUUGGUGUUUCCGGAAGACUGAGAUUUACUGGCGGGCUGUCUCGCCAUUCUGAUAUCAAAGUCUUCCAAUGGAUCAACAAGUCAAGUGAACUUUUAGGCAGAUUCCUGCCCGUCGUGCGUUCAAAAUCAUCAAAGUUAAAUACGGGGCAUUCAAACUUCAAUAAAUCGCUCAUCAAGUGGCUGACAUGGGACGGAAAGCAGCCGGUAGACGACCCGGAACCUGGAACCAAUGUUUGCGUUUUGGAAGGAUUGGCACAUUUGUUAAAUGUCGAAUGCGAAGCCGCAAUUGUCGUCGCCAACAUUUUAGGUUUCGGGGUGUUCGCCGGCUGCCUCGUCGGUUUCUUCUUCGUUUUCAAGAGACGCUACGAACGAAAAGUGGAACAGACGGAAGAAAGAAUGCGCGCGCUCGGACUUCUUUCUUCCGGCACCCUUCUAACACUCGACGAAUGGGAAAUACCGCGCGAACGGAUCGUCAUUAACCGCAAGUUGGGCGAAGGCGCUUUCGGGACUGUCUACGGUGGCGAAGCAUUCUUCGAUGACAAAGGAUGGGUUAGCGUUGCCGUGGCCGUCAAAACACUCAAAGUGGGUUCAACUGUCGAAGAGAAACUGGACUUUCUUAGUGAAGCCGAAAUGAUGAAGCGCUUCAAUCACAAAAAUAUCGUGCGCUUAUUGGGUGUUUGUACGCGUAACGAACCCGUUUACACAGUCAUGGAAUUCAUUCUCUACGGCGAUUUAAAAACGUAUUUGCUGGCGCGACGUCACUUGGUGUACGAAAAAAGCCGCGAAGAUUCAGACGAAAUCUCCGGUCGUCGGUUGACGGCCAUCGCCCUAGACGUGGCUAAAGCUUUGAGCUAUUUGGCCGAACUCAAAUACGUCCAUCGGGACGUCGCAUGUCGAAAUUGCCUAGUGAACUCGAAUCGCGUUGCAAAGCUUGCUGAUUUCGGGAUGGCACGUCCCAUGUAAGUCAUAACAAUAUUUGAUUGGGAAAAAAAAAAAUACGUGUUUAUUAAUCUCCAAUGCUCCCUAUUGGUCAGGUACGAAAACGAUUACUACCGCUUCCAUCGCAAAGGCAUGUUACCCGUGAGGUGGAUGGCGCCAGAAAGCUUGGUAGACGGCCUCUUCACGCCAAUGACUGACAUUUGGUCUUACGGUGUUCUUCUCUACGAGAUAAUCACAUUUGGUAGCUUCCCAUUCCAGGGAAUGAGCAACAAUCAAGUAUUGGGGCAUAUUAAGAAUGGAUUGACUAUCGACAUCCCCGAUGGAGUUAAACCUCAACUGUAAGAUUUGAUCUGUAAAAGAUAAGAAUUGCUACAACAAAUUCACGUUGCUUUGUACUUUAUAAAACAAGGGAAACUCUAUUAAAAUCAUGUUGGCAUCGGACACCAUCCCUAAGACCUCAAGCGGCCGAAGUGGUUGAAUUGCUGACCAAUAACACCCGGUUGAUCCAGCCAUGUGUAGGCAUCCCGUUAUCAUCAAUCCAGAUAGAGGGGA
RNAcentral lists this unclassified non-coding RNA (5422 nucleotides) under Daphnia magna. RNAcentral describes it as "receptor-type guanylate cyclase gcy-5, transcript variant X4". Lineage: Eukaryota; Metazoa; Arthropoda; Branchiopoda; Diplostraca; Daphniidae. The record is from RNAcentral.